UAGGGAAUCUUCGGCAAUGGGGGGAACCCUGACCGAGCAACGCCGCGUGAGUGAAGAAGGUUUUCGGAUCGUAAAGCUCUGUUGUUAAGGAAGAACGAGUGUGAGAAUGGAAAGUUCAUACUGUGACGGUACUUAACCAGAAAGGGACGGCUAACUACGUGCCAGCAGCCGCGGUAAUACGUAGGUCCCGAGCGUUGUCCGGAUUUAUUGGGCGUAAAGCGAGCGCAGGCGGUUAGAUAAGUCUGAAGUUAAAGGCAGUGGCUCAACCAUUGUAGGCUUUGGAAACUGUUUAACUUGAGUGCAGAAGGGGAGAGUGAAAUUCCAUGUGUAGCGGUGAAAUGCGUAGAUAUAUGGAGGAACACCGGUGGCGAAAGCGGCUCUCUGGUCUGUAACUGACGCUGAGUCUCGAAAGCGUGGGGAGCGAACAGG
Molecule: ribosomal RNA, 429 nt
Filed under: Bacteroidota bacterium
Lineage: Bacteria; Pseudomonadati; Bacteroidota
Description: Bacteroidetes bacterium partial 16S ribosomal RNA
Rfam family: Bacterial small subunit ribosomal RNA
Source: RNAcentral